GAACACCUUCCUAAUAUUGAGUUGCACCCCCCCUCCCACCCCCUUUUCAGAGCAGCAUGGACUCUACAAGGUGUUGAAAGCGUUCCACAGGGAUGCUGGCCCAUGUUGACUCCAAUGCUUCCUACAGUUGUAUCAAGUUGGCUGACAGCCCUUUGGGUGGUGGAACAUUCUUGAUACACACGGGAAACUGUUGAGCGUGAAAAACCCAGCAGCGUUGCAGUUCUUGACAAAAACCGAUGCACCUGGCACCUACUACCAUACCCCGUUCAAAGGUACUCACGUCUUUUACCAUGCCCAUUCACCCUCUGAAUGACACACAUACCCAAUCCAUGUCUCAAUUAUCUCAAGGCUUAAAAAUCCUUCUUUAACCCGUCUCCUCCCAUUCAUCUACGCUGAUUGAAGUGGAUUUAACAAGUGACCAAUAAGGGAUCAUAGCUUUCAUGUUGAUUCACCUGGCCAGUCAGUGUAUGUCAUGGAAAGAGCAGGUGUUCUUAAUGUUUUGUAAAGUGUAUCUAUACAGUAUAUGUAUAUAAUAGUGUGUAUGGACAGUAGAUGAAUAUAAAAGGUGUGUACAGCAGUAAUUUUAUAAGAUGGUGUGUGUAUAGGCAGUAUGGACAGUAUAAAAUACAAUACAAUUUUACUGGUCACAGACACGUGUUUAUCAAAUCAAAGUUUAUUUGUCAUGUGCGCCGAAUACAACAGGUGUAGACCUUACAGUGAAAUGCUUACUUACAGGCUCUAACCAACAGUGCAAAAAAGGUAUUAGGUGAACAAUAGGUAGGUAAAGAAAUAAAACAACAGUAAAAAGACAGGCUACAUACAGGUAGUGAGGCUACAUACAGACACCGGUUAGUCAGGCUGAUUGAGGUAGUAUGUACAUGUAGGUAUGGUUAAAGUGACUAUGCAUAUAUGAUGAACAGAGUUUAGCAGAUGUUAAUGCGAGUGUAUGCUAAUAGUUCCGACAGUGCAGUAAUAUCUAACAAUUUCACAACAAAUACCUAAUACACACAAAUCUAAGUAAAGGAAUGGAAUUAAGAAUAUAUAAAUAUAUGGAGGAGCAAUGUCAGAGCAGCAUAGACUAAGAUAGUAUAGAAUAAUGUAUAGUAUAUACAUACAAGAUUAGUAAUUUAAGAUAUGUAAACAUUAUUAAAGUGACUAGUGAUCCAUUUAUUAAAGUGGCCAAUGAUUUCAAGUAUGUAUGUUGGCGGCAGCCUCUCUGUGCUAGUGAUGGCUGUUUAACAGUCUGAUGGCCUUGAGAUAGAAGCUGUUUUUCAGUCUCUCAGACCCAGCUUUGAUGCACCUGUACUGACCUCUCCACCUGGAUGAUAGUGGGGUGAACAGGCAGUGGCUCGGGUGGUUGUUAUCCUUGAUGAUCUUUUUGGCCUUCCUGUGACAUCGGGUAGGUGUCCUGGAGGGCAGGUAGUUUGCCCCCGGUGAUGUGUUGUGCAGACCGCACCACCCUCUAGAGAGUCCUGUGGUUGAGUGCGGUGCAGUUGCCGUACCAGGCGGUGAUACAGCCCAACAGGAUGCAUCUGUAAAAGUUUGUGAGGGUUUUAGGUGACAAGCCAAAUUUCUUCAGCCUCCUGAGGUUGAAGAGGGCCUGUUGCACCUUCUUCACCACACUGUCUGUGUGGGUGGACCAAUUCAGUUUGUCUGUGAUGUGUACGCCGAUGAACUUAAAACUUUCCACCUUCUCCACUACUGUCCUGUCGAUGUGGAUAGGGGGAUGUUCCCUCUACUGUUUCCUGAAGUCCACGAUCAUCUCCUUUGUUUUGUUGACGUUGAGUCAGAGGUUAUUUUCCUGACACCUCACUCCCAGAACCCUCACCUCCUCCAUGUAGGCUGUCUCAUCGUUAUUGGAAAUCAAGCCUACUACUGUUGUUUCAAAAUAUGAAUAGAAAAGGUGUGUACAGCAGUAGUUAUAUAGGAAGAGUCUUGACUAGAAUACAGUAUACACAUAUAAAGUGGGUAAAACAGUAUGUAAACAUUAUUGAAGUGACCAGUGUUCCAUGUCUAUGUACAUUGGGCAGCAGACUCUAAGGUUCAGGGUAGAGUACCGGGUGGUAGUCGGCUAGUAACAGUGACUAAGGUUCAGGUUAGAGUACAGGGUAGUAGGAGGCUAGUAACAGUGACUAAGGUUCAGGGUAGAGUACCCGGGGGUAGUCGGCUAGUAACAGGGACUAAGGUUCAGGGUAGAGUACCGGGUGGUAGCCGACUAGUGACAGUGACUAAGGUUCUGGGUAGAGUACCGGGUGGUAGCCGGCUAGUAACAGUGACUAAGGUUCAGGGUAGAGUACCGGGUGGUAGCUGGCUAGUGACAGUGACUAAGGUUCAGGGUAGAGUACCCGGUGGUAGCCGGCUAGUGACAUAACAACUUGAUUGUGAAAUGUCCUAUCAUGAGGAAAUGACUAGGUGAUACUUAGCCCCUGAACAAGGCAUUUAACACACUGUUCCUAGGCUGUCGUUCUGCCCCUGAACAAGGCAGUUAACCCACUGUUCCUAGGCUGUCGUUCUGCCCCUGAACAAGGCAGUUAACCCACUGUUCCUAGGCUGUCGUUCUGCCCCUUAACAGGCUGUUAACCCGAUGUUCCUACACCGUCAUUGAAAAUAAGAAUUUGUUGUUAACUGACUUGCCUAGUUAAAUAAAAUAUAUUCCUGCAAUUUGCAGUCUAUAUUUACUAUAUUUUUAGUGUAGCUUAACUUUUUGUAGUGUGAAGUUAUUGGUAGUUUGGUAAACUAUGAUUUCAGAGUAAUACUGUGGGUUUGGUAAUACUGUGGGUUUGGUAAUACUGUGGGAUUGGUAAUACUGUGGGUUUGGUAAUACUGUGGGUUUGGCAGGAGAAGACAAAACAAAGCAAGAAAGAGAAGAAGAGAAGUAAAGAAGAAGAGAAGUAAAGAAGAAGAGAAGUAAAGAAGAAGAGAAGUAAAGAAGAAGAGAAGUAA
Long non-coding RNA from Oncorhynchus tshawytscha (Chinook salmon), 2943 nucleotides. Lineage: Eukaryota; Metazoa; Chordata; Actinopteri; Salmoniformes; Salmonidae. The record is from Ensembl.